AAAAAAUGAUGACAAAAAAAAGAUAAUAAAAAUUGGCAAAGAAAAAUGCAUUCAUUUGCUCUGCAUCAAUCAAAGCUGGGGGCAUCCUAAGAAGCACCAUCAAAGGGGAAGUUUUGAAGGGUAAUCAUGGAAAGGAUCCAGCAAAGGGUACGCAAGACUUCAAACAGUACCGAGGCAAAGCCGAUUGAAGGGGUUAGGGCCAGAAUGGUUUCUCCGAAAACCCAGGAAUGGAAGAUGCUCCGACAG
This 246-nucleotide long non-coding RNA is filed under the name Jatropha curcas. Its description in RNAcentral is "long non-coding RNA (JCUR_LNC001093)". Lineage: Eukaryota; Viridiplantae; Streptophyta; Magnoliopsida; Malpighiales; Euphorbiaceae. The record is from RNAcentral.